AAACCCUGAAAUAAUCGUUAAAAAAUGUGUCCCUUUCGGGAGAAAAAUCCUCCUCACCCCGACCUAGAGAACAAUGCGGCUCGCAGCGGAGGACGCCCCUGACUUUUUUCAAUGCAAGCGCCGACCGGAUGCCUGCAAAAAGAAAAAAGCUCCUCAAAUCCUCACAAUCGGCAGGCUAUGAUGUUCAUCUGCAACCACGAGGUUUACCAGUGCCUCCACUUAGUCUGGGACCUGAACCUUAAGACGUGGUGCAAAGCAUCUGUGAGUCAGAAUUUGCAUCCUGAAAUAUAAAGUGGGAAAAGCAUUAUUGGACAAAUAGCUGCUUCUGAAAUCUGAGCUGGGCUAUACAGUAGGUAUUGUAAAGACAAACACAGAGCAAACUGAAAUGUAGAAUAAUGAAAAGGAGACAGUUGAAGAAUAUAAAAGCUUUUGAAGCCAGACAGACUGAUGGAGAAAAAAAUACAAUUCUACAAAUCUGUAUCAGUGAAUGAUUAAUUAAUUUUGUUGAAUGAUCUGUUCCAGCGUUGAGUGAUAUCAGUUUCCAUUUCUUUUACACUUUUACAGAAGAUCUCAAGAGACUGAUAGUUCAAAAGACAGUUCAAUUUAGAGUUCCCAUUGGAAAUGGCUUCAGAAGGUCUUUGCCAUACAUUGGGCUUUGAUGUGUUUUAACUGUCCUGAUCUACUGUUCAGAGAUGGGAGAAUAAAUUCUGUUCAUUUUUUCCAUUGUAAAUGCUAUUUUUUCUUCACAUUAUAUUUGAGAUACUUCACAAAAAUAUUUAAAGAUUAUCAUGGAAAUAUCCAUGUAAAACUUUGUCAUUGAUUUUUAUAGUGUAGGUACAGCACAGAUUAGUUUGUACUGGUGUACAUCCAGUAUUUAAUCAUCAUAAAUAUACCAUUUCAAAGAAACACUCUAAAACAGUGGCAGGAAAUAACUUCAUACCUUUUAUCACACACCCUAAAAGCCAGUGAGCAGGUCAGAAACCUGGUUGUCAUCCUGGACACUGACCUUAACUUUGAAAAUCACAUAUCAAAUAUUACAAGAUCAUCAUUCUACCACCUGAGAAAUAUAUAUCAAAAGUAAAAAGAUUCAUAUCACAAACCGAUUCUGAGAAACUGGUGCACACAUUCAUUUUGUGCAGAUUAGAUCACUGCAAUGCUCUUUUCACUGGAUUAUCAAAACAUUCAAUAGGAAGACUUCAAGUCAUACAGAAUUCAGCCGCCAGAGUUCUUACCGGUACAAGAAAACAUCAUCACAUUACUCCAAUACUUAAAUCACUUCAUUGGCUUCCCAUUCAACACAGAAUACAUUUUAAAAUCAUCCUGUUGGUUUUUAAGGCACUACAUGGUUCAGCUCCCCAGUAUA
Thunnus maccoyii (southern bluefin tuna) is the source of this 1363-nucleotide long non-coding RNA. RefSeq lists it as uncharacterized. The transcript has 3 exons. The record is from RefSeq and is a predicted model, not a curated record. Lineage: Eukaryota; Metazoa; Chordata; Actinopteri; Scombriformes; Scombridae.